This 892-nucleotide ribosomal RNA is filed under the name uncultured archaeon. RNAcentral describes it as "bacterial SSU rRNA". It matches the Rfam family "Archaeal small subunit ribosomal RNA", at positions 23 to 922 of the family's 1478-position model. The record is from RNAcentral.
CUGACUGCUAUCGGAUUGAUACUAAGCCAUGCGAGUCAUUGUAGCAAUACAAGGCAGACGGCUCAGUAACGCGUAGUCAACCUACCCUAUGGACGGGAAUAACCUCGGGAAACUGAGUAUAAUGCCCGAUAGAACAUUAUGCCUGGAAUGGUUUAUGUUCCAAAUGAUUUAUCGCCGUAGGAUGGGACUGCGGCCUAUCAGUUUGUUGGUGAGGUAAUGGCCCACCAAGACUAUUACAGGUACGGGCUCUGAGAGGAGUGGCCCGGAGAUGGGUACUGAGACACGGACCCAGGCCCUAUGGGGCGCAGCAGGCGAGAAAACUUUGCAAUGUGCGAAAGCACGACAAGGUUAAUCCGAGUGGUUUCUGCUAAAGGAACCUUUUGUUAGUCAUAGAACCACUAAUGAAUAAGGGGUGGGCAAGUUCUGGUGUCAGCCGCCGCGGUAAAACCAGCACCUCAAGUGUCAGGAUGAUUAUUGGGCCUAAAGCAUCCGUAGCCGGCUCUGUAAGUUUUCGGUUAAAUCUGUACGCUCAACGUACAGGCUGCCGGGAAUACUGCAGAGCUAGGGAGUGGGAGAGGUAGACGGUACUCGGUAGGAAGGGGUAAAAUCCUUUGAUCUAUUGAUGACCACCUGUGGCGAAGGCGGUCUACCAGAACACGUCCGACGGUGAGGGAUGAAAGCUGGGGGAGCAAACCGGAUUAGAUACCCGGGUAGUCCCAGCUGUAAACUAUGCAAACUCAGUGAUGCAUUGGCUUGUGGCCAAUGCAGUGCUGCAGGGAAGCCGUUAAGUUUGCCGCCUGGGAAGUACGUACGCAAGUAUGAAACUUAAAGGAAUUGGCGGGGGAGCACCACAAGGGGUGAAGCCUGCGGUUCAAUUGGAUUCAACGCCGGA